AACCAUAGAAACCUGCGGAGUACCUGCGGAGGGAUCAUUAAAGAUUGACCGAAAGGUCUUAUCUCUAUAUCCCUCACCUCUGUGAACUGUGGACCUCCGGGUCUAUUUAACAAACAUCAGUGUAAUGAACGUAUAUGUCAUUAAACAAAACAAAACUUUCAACAACGGAUCU
This 172-nucleotide unclassified non-coding RNA is filed under the name soil metagenome. RNAcentral describes it as "partial contains 5.8S ribosomal RNA, internal transcribed spacer 2, and large subunit ribosomal RNA". The record is from RNAcentral.